UGCUGCCCACCGCCCACCAGCCCCGCAGCCCCGCCGCCCACCACCCGCCUGCAACCAGCGACUCACCACCCAUGGGCAGCACCUUUCCCUUGGCUGUGGGGAAGGACCUGGGUUUCUCGUAGGCGGCGCCAUACAGACGGGACCUGCUGGCAGGACGUGGCAGGUCACAGGCGAGUCCCCACGGAGGCCUCACAGCCCGGCUCCAAGGAUCCCCGAGAAGCCCCGGUAAGGCCAAUCCUGUAAACCACACGGCCCCCGGCAGGGGCCCCUCCCCACCCACCCCCACGCAUGCCUCAGUGGGCCAGGCUGGCCACACUCUGCCACCUGGCUCCCCCUCACUGCAGAGGCUCAGAGCUCGGCCCAGACCACCAAGGGCAGCUGUCCAGCCUCUGCCCCACCGUCCAGUGACCCGCAGGUCUGGACAUCCAGGCCCACCCAGACCAGACCCAAGGGCCCGUGCUGGAGACGGGUCACAGGGGGUGGCCCCUGCCCUCUCCAGCAGGAACAGGACAGGGACCUCAGGGUCCCUUGGCCACCCACCCCCACGUCCAGUGGGAGCCACCGUGUGUGUCCACACCCUUCUCGGGGCCAGCCAGGGCCUCUGCGGCACCCGAGGCCGCCGGGCGAGGGCUGAGUCUGCGCCUCCCUGCGCGGCCCGGCGCAGGAGUGAGGGGGCCGCACCUGUCCCGUGAGAGGUGCAGGAGGACGAUCCGAAUCGUAGGCGGAAUCUCGUUCAGGAAGUUGAAAUGUUGCUCCGUGACGCAGAGGUUUUGCCACGCCUGUGUUGGGACAAACAGGGAUCCGUGAAGCAUCCGGGAUGCAGGCCUGUCACUGCACCGCUGUCUGUGCUGCGCCCUGGGGGGGCCGCAGCCCCUCCGCCGCCCCCCGCUGACGUGUGACGGCCACACGGGGGCAGCAGAGGCAAAUCGCAGCUUGUCUGAACUUCAAGUUCUCCCCAGUUCUCAGGGGUCAGAAACCAGCUUUGCCUGAGGAAGUGCACAGGCACCCAAGGCAGAGCCGCGUGUGGAAGGUCCCCAGCACCUCCCUGCCGCCCUCUGUCCUCCCUGCUGCCUCCACACCACACGUGUAGACACGCGUGCACAGACAGCUGCACAGAUGCAUGCAUGCAGGGACACAUGCUCCCCCAGACACACCCACGCAUGCAGACGCAGGUAGACAUGCAGACACACGCCACUGUGUCCCAUCCACCCCCCGCCAGGGAAGGCCCUCUCUCCCCCGGGCCCCAAGGAGCUGGGCACAGCCCCCAAGCCGCCCGGCCGGGGUCCCGCAGUGGCUCCAGCCUGUCCGCCCGGGCCCCUGCUCCCGUGCGGGCUGUGCACUGACGGGCCCAGCCCAGACACGGCGCAUACCUCACAGCCCCCGCAGGCGGCCACAGCCUGCAGGUGGCUGCAAAAACAAACCCGUUGUUAGAAACCUUUUGUUGAAGUAGAACAUACAAGAGAAAGUGAUGUGACCACACGUGAAAAGCUCCAUAGGUUUUCACAGGGGCCACGCCGUGUGGCCAGGGGAGAGAGAGGCUGCUGCUGGCCACCCCACGUGGGCGGACGUGCAGUGGCUUCGGCUGGCAUUUGUCUGGCGUCUGCACUGCGUGGACACGGCACCACUUCGUAAUCCAGCCGAAGGCCAGGGGACAUCUGGCGGCUCCCUUCUCCGGCUGCUGUGAGAGCCACUGCGACAGACACCCAUCACACGCUCCUUGGGGACCACACAGAGGCCCCGCCACUGGGCACGGCCGGGCCCAUGGUGCUGAGGGCUGAGACUUCCAGGUGCCACCGUCCCACCUCCACGGGGCCACGUCCUCUGUUCCAUCUUAGCCAUGCCAACGUCUGUUUGCUGUGUGAACGUCUCCUCCUGUGACAUUCCAACCUCGUGCCAUUUUCCUUACUGGAAAUCGACGUACCCUCUAUUGGAGCAGGAUACAGACCGUCAUCCGCUGUGCCCCAGUGAAUGUCCUUUCCUGCUCUGGGCUCACCAUGUCACUCCUUGGAAGGCCAGGACUUCUUAAUUCCAGCGCAGUCCGACUCCCGUCUUCCCUACUGCGGCGUCUCCCUCAGCACAGGGCUUGCGUCCAGGCCAGGCAGGGGCUCCCGCAGGGCCGUGUGGGUGGACGAGAGCCACACACACACGGUCACUUUCAGGUCAUCGUUGCAGAAGACGCUGCUGCGGCGACUCAGGGCCUCGGAGCCAGGGCGCUGGCGGAAGCAGAGAGGCAGCCAGCGGCCGGGAGACGUCCCUCCCUUAACCCACAGACGUGGGCAUAGCCCGCGACUCGGUGCUCCAUCCUGCUUCCCGAGGACGUCUGUGGUUUGCAGUGGGCUGGCCUUGCACGGGCUUUGCUAGAUUUCCCCUGGACAUUUGAUACGUGUAUAUAUUUUUUAUGCUCCUGAAAAUAGUAUCAUUUAAAAAUUU
This is a long non-coding RNA of Lemur catta (Ring-tailed lemur), 2430 nucleotides long. RefSeq lists it as uncharacterized. The record is from RefSeq and is a predicted model, not a curated record. Lineage: Eukaryota; Metazoa; Chordata; Mammalia; Primates; Lemuridae. The transcript has 2 exons.